This 446-nucleotide small RNA is filed under the name Malus domestica (apple). Its description in RNAcentral is "sRNA MD12G0105900". The record is from RNAcentral. Lineage: Eukaryota; Viridiplantae; Streptophyta; Magnoliopsida; Rosales; Rosaceae.
UUUGUCCCCAAAUACUUCAAAUUCGUGUGCAUGGUUGAUGUAAAUCUUAUUCAAGUCAGCCACUCUUUGAAAGGUGCUGUUGGAGUUGAAGUUCUUUAUGGAAAAUUAUGUUCAUUUUAAUUAUAAGCGUACGAGCACUUCCCAAUUGCUUGAAGUUGCAUGGCAUCAGGCUUGUACCAGAUUGUGAAGUAAGCUGGUUGGUUAAGGCUCAGUAGCAAAUCCGAGGCAGUCACCGUAUGAGGCAUUAAGAUUUGUUUCUCUGGGUCUAAACCACAUUUACUCCAAAAGCAGGUCUACAGAUAAUGCAAUUGUACAUGGAGGGUUAUCGACAAGACUGGAAGCUUUCUUUCGAACAGGACACUAUGGCCAGAGGCGGCUGGUAUAUAUAUUCGUUUAGGGGUGUGUUAUGCACACAUCUCAAAUUACUUUUCACACCCCUUGUUAAU